UACGGAGGGGGCCAGCGUUGUUCGGAAUUAUUGGGCGUAAAGGGCGCGUAGGCUGUCUGGUAAGUCGGUUGUGAAAUCCCUCGGCUCAACCGAGGAAUCGCGACCGAAACUGCCGGGCUUGAGUCCCGGAGAGGGUAGCGGAAUUCCCAGUGUAGCGGUGAAAUGCGUAGAUAUUGGGAGGAACACCAGUGGCGAAGGCGGCUACCUGGACGGGUACUGACGCUGAUGCGCGAAAGCGUGGGGAGCAAACAGG
Molecule: ribosomal RNA, 253 nt
Filed under: uncultured bacterium
Lineage: Bacteria
Description: partial 16S ribosomal RNA
Rfam family: Bacterial small subunit ribosomal RNA
Source: RNAcentral